AGCAGCCGCGGUAAUUCCAGCUCCAAUAGCGUAUAUUAAAGUUGUUGCAGUUAAAAAGCUCGUAGUUGAAUUUCGGGGUUAGCAGGUCGGUCGUGCCAUCGGUAUGAACUGGUCUCGCUGAUCCCUCCCUCUUGACGAACUGUGAUGCCAUUAAUUUGGUGUCGCAGGGAAUCAGGACUGUUACUUUGAGAAAAUUAGAGUGUUUAAAGCAGGCUCACGCUUGAAUACAUUAGCAUGGAAUAAUGAAAUAGGACGUUUGAUCCUAUUUUGUUGGCUUCUAGGAUUGACGUAAUGAUUAAUAGGGAUAGUUGGGGGCAUUAGUAUUCAAUUGUCAGAGGUGAAAUUCUUGGAUUUAUUGAAGACUAACUACUGCGAAAGCAUUUGCCAAGGAUGUUUUCAUUAAUCAAGAACGAAAGUUAGGGGAUCGAAGACGAUCAGAUACCGUCGUAG
RNAcentral lists this unclassified non-coding RNA (450 nucleotides) under uncultured Glomus. RNAcentral describes it as "SSU rRNA". It matches the Rfam family "Eukaryotic small subunit ribosomal RNA", at positions 569 to 1023 of the family's 1831-position model. The record is from RNAcentral. Lineage: Eukaryota; Fungi; Glomeromycota; Glomeromycetes; Glomerales; Glomeraceae.